AUGAAGUCGGAAUCGCUAGUAAUCGUGAAUCAGAAUGUCACGGUGAAUACGUUCCCGGGCCUUGUACACACCGCCCGUCACACCAUGGGAGUGGGUUGCACCAGAAGUAGAUAGCUUAACCGCAAGGGGGGCGUUUACCACGGUGUGGUCCAUGACUGGGGUGAAGUCGUAACAAGGUAACCGUAGGGGAACCUGCGGUUGGAUCACCUCCUUACGAAGA
RNAcentral lists this ribosomal RNA (220 nucleotides) under Gilliamella apis. RNAcentral's name for it is "partial 16S ribosomal RNA". It matches the Rfam family "Bacterial small subunit ribosomal RNA", at positions 1320 to 1533 of the family's 1533-position model. The record is from RNAcentral. Lineage: Bacteria; Pseudomonadati; Pseudomonadota; Gammaproteobacteria; Orbales; Orbaceae.